Molecule: ribosomal RNA, 807 nt
Filed under: uncultured bacterium
Lineage: Bacteria
Description: bacterial SSU rRNA
Rfam family: Bacterial small subunit ribosomal RNA
Source: RNAcentral
UGCUUUCACAUGCAAGUCGAACGGACUUGGGGGCUUGCUCCCAGGUUAGUGGCGAACGGGUGAGUAACAUAUCGGAACAUAUCCGGAAGUGGGGGAUAACGUAGCGAAAGUUACGCUAAUACCGCAUAUGCCCUGAGGGGGAAAGGGGGGGAUCGCAAGACCUCUCGCUUUCGGAGUGGCCGAUAUCGGAUUAGCUAGAUGGUGAGGUGAAGGCUCACCAUGGCGACGAUCCGUAGCGGGUCUGAGAGGACGACCCGCCACACUGGAACUGAGACACGGUCCAGACUCCUACGGGAGGCAGCAGUGGGGAAUUUUGGACAAUGGGCGCAAGCCUGAUCCAGCCAUACCGCGUGAGUGAAGAAGGCCUUCGGGUUGUAAAGCUCUUUCAGCCGGAAAGAAAUCGCACUUGUUAAUAGCAAGUGUGGAUGACGGUACCGGAAGAAGAAGCACCGGCUAACUACGUGCCAGCAGCCGCGGUAAUACGUAGGGUGCGAGCGUUAAUCGGAAUUACUGGGCGUAAAGCGUGCGCAGGCGGUUUUGUAAGACAGAUGUGAAAUCCCCGGGCUUAACCUGGGAACUGCAUUUGUGACUGCGAGACUAGAGUGUAGCAGAGGGGGGUAGAAUUCCACGUGUAGCAGUGAAAUGCGUAGAGAUGUGGAGGAAUACCGAUGGCGAAGGCAGCCCCCUGGGCUAACACUGACGCUCAUGCACGAAAGCGUGGGGAGCAAACAGGAUUAGAUACCCUGGUAGUCCACGCCCUAAACGAUGUCAACUAGGUGUUGGGGAAGGAGACUUCUUUAGUACCGC